This 74-nucleotide transfer RNA is filed under the name Petromyzon marinus (sea lamprey). RNAcentral describes it as "tRNA-Val (AAC) (tRNA-Val-AAC-62-1)". Lineage: Eukaryota; Metazoa; Chordata; Hyperoartia; Petromyzontiformes; Petromyzontidae. The record is from RNAcentral.
GGCCGGUUAGCUCAGCUGGUUAGAGCGUGGUGCUAACAUCGCCAAGGUCCUGAGUUUAACCCCCAUACUGGCCA